This is a long non-coding RNA of Momordica charantia (bitter melon), 894 nucleotides long. RefSeq lists it as uncharacterized. Lineage: Eukaryota; Viridiplantae; Streptophyta; Magnoliopsida; Cucurbitales; Cucurbitaceae. The record is from RefSeq and is a predicted model, not a curated record.
CACAGCAUUAGCCUAAAUAAAAAAAAAAAAAAAUUGCACGAUGAUUCCAAAAUCGCGAUGGAUCUUCCACUUCGGUAUCCCGCAUAUGAACUACCAAUUCUUGGAAAGUAACUCACUCUCCAAACUGUGGCCUGAAAAUUCAGCUUAAUCCCUGUGAUUUAUGGCGUCAAUCAAUGGGAUCCAGGAGGCACGAUUCAACGUAAUGACUCUUAAAUUUGAAGUGGGAAGAAGGAAUAAAGAACUGAAUUGCAAGUGAAGUAAUGGGAAUACAGUGGCAGAGUUCAUUGCAGAGUUGUGAGAAGGAAUUUUUUUUUUCCCCCAAAAAUGGUCAAAAGUGUGAGAAUAAUUGUCAUGAGAAGGAAUUUCCUUUUGGCAAUGCCAAAAUUUUCUUUGCUAUACAAAACCUAAUGUCUCUGUAGUUUCUUUACAAUUGUAGGAAGCCAUUGAAGAUAUCAGAAGCCUGAUGACAUCACCCUCUGCUUUUUAGAAGAAUAAUGCCAAAACCUUGUAGAGUCUGAAAAGCAGCAGCUCAAGAAUUGGAAUUUGAUCCCCUGUUUUAUUCAUUAGAAUUAGAUCCUUUAUUUAUUAUUCAUAAUAAAUCAUAGAGGAUCCAUUUCUGAUAAUAAAAAUUGCCAACUCAUUCAAAAGUCAAGACCAUCUCAUUCAUUGAUAUGAUCAAAAGCCAAAGCCAACCAAASAGCUCCAUCCGACGGCUCUGAUUUGAUAGAAGUGUAUAAUCUGUGUUUCUAGUGGGCAAAUAGUUGUUCAAAUUUUAUUCUCCACAUUAAUUCUUUUGAUAUAAAGGAAUAUGUAUCGGCUCAAAUUCUUUAUGUUAUAAAAAUGUUGUGACAUAGAAUAUCUUUUGAUGGUGACUUUGCCCAGUGGUUUAUGAAA